ACUUGAGAUUCACUUCCAUUUAAAGAAAAAUACUUUCUUUUCCAGCAAAGAAUUGCUGCUCUGCAUUUAUUUAAAUUGGUUCAUGAUUUCAUUUCCAUCCUCUUUUCUACUGCUCAAGUGGGAGAAAUCUAGUGAAAGCGUAAUCUAAGGACUAAUGAGCAAACUGCUAAGUGCUGGUUUAGUGAAAGUUGAUUUUUCAGUAUUUCACUGGUUGGAAAAAGUGCACUUUUAAAGAUUUUUACCAAGUGUAUCACUAAUAUUGUGUCAGCUAUUUUCCAGUGAUCUGGAUAUGGCCAGGAACUAGGAUACACACAGAAGAUUGAAGUUGCAAGGGAAGAGGGCGUAACUGAAAUCCUAAACACUCUUCGAGGCCAUUUCCCACCACUCAACAUGCACGGAACUAGAGAGUAUUAUGCUCAGUGAAAUAAGUCAAUCAGAAAAGGACAAUUACCAUAUGCUCUCACUCACAUGUGGAAUUUAAGAAACAAAACAGAGGAUCAUAGAGGAAGAGAGAAGAAAAUAAAAGAAGAUGAAAUCAAAGAGGGAUACAAAAUAGAAUUAGAUUUAUUUGUUUCAUGGAAUUUUUCUAGAACUUCUCUAUAAAACAACGUGACAAUCUGAUAAAUGCAUAUAUUGCCAAAUGAUUACCACAAUAAGAACAAACGUGGCAACUUCAGGUCAAGAUGGCAGAGAGAUUCAAGAUCAGAACAGUUUAGAUUAUUGACUUACUGAAUGAAAAACAGAGGCAAGCAUCAUCUUGACUGAAGCCAACUUUUGUUGUACUAAACCACUAAGAUGUGGGGGUUGCUUCAUUACAGUAUGAGCUAGAAAUAGAAAGAUCAACCUACGGUAUUCCUGAGUAUGUUGCCUUUCUUCUAUUAUCUCCAUACUGGACUUCUGGGAAUUCAGCUAAGCAUACACUAUAACCCCUAUUCUAUCCUCCAUCUAUCUUAAACUGUCAUGGUUUUCAUCUCCUACUUCUGUGUUGUGUUUUGUGCUACUUCUGAAUAUGUUUCUCAGUUUGCUAAAUUUCUCUCCAGCU
Molecule: long non-coding RNA, 1042 nt
Organism: Mustela lutreola (European mink)
Lineage: Eukaryota; Metazoa; Chordata; Mammalia; Carnivora; Mustelidae
Exons: 4
Source: RefSeq, a predicted model, not a curated record